AGGACGAACGCUGGCGGCGUGCUUAAGACAUGCAAGUCGAACGGAUCUGGUCCUUCGGACCAGGUUAGUGGCGGACGGGUGAGUAAUGCGUAGGAAUCUACCCACGAGUGGGGGAGUAGCCCGGAGAAAUCCGGAUUAAUACCGCAUAUGCCUACGGGUAAAGCGGGGAGUCGUAAGACCUCGCGCUGGUGGAUGAGCCUACGUCCGAUUAGUUAGUUGGUGGGUAAAGGCCUACCAAGGCUACGAUCGGUAGCUGGUCUGAGAGGACGACCAGCCACACUGGGACUGAGACACGGCCCAGACUCCUACGGGAGGCAGC
This 319-nucleotide ribosomal RNA is filed under the name uncultured prokaryote. RNAcentral describes it as "bacterial SSU rRNA". It matches the Rfam family "Bacterial small subunit ribosomal RNA", at positions 26 to 352 of the family's 1533-position model. The record is from RNAcentral.